AGGGUUGAAGAGACCGUAGUUCCUCUCGGAGGUUGGUCCAGGCUUCAUGUUCUCGUUAAAGAGAGCAAAGACGAAGAUGGUGAGAUCGCACUCAGGUCGUAUAGGCGUCCUCAUCUUCUUGCUCAUCAUCAUCUUGAUCAGAUUCCCAUUGUACUUGCGAGCAUUGUCGCAGGUGGCUCCGACUUCUUGCGGGUCACCGUUGGAAGGCCAUCCGGUCUCGGAGACGACAAUGGGAACUUUCUUGUAGCUGAUGCCGACAGCGUCAAGAGCGUGAUAGACUGCGUCGACCUGAGCGAAGAGCAUGUUGUCGUAGUGGAAAUUAGAGCCAGGAUCGGUGAAGCCUUGAUUUGGUUGGAAGAGUACGAAGUCGAGAGAAACGUGUUUGGGGUUUUCUUCGUAGGCGAAGAAAGGGUAGGCGUUGAUGAGGAUUGGUGAGCCAGUCUUGACGUGGAAGUCCAAGAUGGGAGUGAGGGAGCCGAGGAGGUCGCGGCGGAAGGAAGUGGCCGAGGGAGGGUAGGAUACAUCCAAGAUGGCUAGUGAGUGAGCCGUCGUCACAAAGAUCUGCUUGUUUAGGCCACAAUCCACCAGAGCACCGUGGAUGCUUUGCAUAGCCGGGAAGAGGGCUGCCGUGAGGGCUGACUGGUUUGAGGUGAGGACUUCGUUUCCCACUACGAUGGCCACGAUCUUGGUGUUUGGGAGGUAAGCUUGGACGUUCUCCUUCACCCAGCCUUGGGCUUUAAUAGGGUCGCUCAUCUGAGCCAGGUACUCGUUACCGAGGGCCACGGUGAGCUCGAAGCCGGAGCCGGCGAAGGCACGUAGGGCUUGUGGAUCGGCGUCAUAGAGCUUGACUUUUGUAGCUCCCACAGACUUGAGGAGAGGGAUGACGUUUUUAGGGGGAGGAAGGUUGUUAGCGACCUGGCCAUAGUUGAUGC
Molecule: long non-coding RNA, 932 nt
Filed under: Arabidopsis thaliana (thale cress)
Lineage: Eukaryota; Viridiplantae; Streptophyta; Magnoliopsida; Brassicales; Brassicaceae
Description: long non-coding RNA (ATHA_LNC000451)
Source: RNAcentral